RNAcentral lists this ribosomal RNA (1355 nucleotides) under Kocuria sp. CCBAU 10913. RNAcentral's name for it is "bacterial SSU rRNA". It matches the Rfam family "Bacterial small subunit ribosomal RNA", at positions 72 to 1437 of the family's 1533-position model. The record is from RNAcentral. Lineage: Bacteria; Bacillati; Actinomycetota; Actinomycetes; Micrococcales; Micrococcaceae.
UGCCCAGCUUGCUGGGCGGAUUAGUGGCGAACGGGUGAGUAAUACGUGAGUAACCUGCCCUUGACUCUGGGAUAAGCCUGGGAAACUGGGUCUAAUACUGGAUACUACCGUCCACCGCAUGGUGGGUGGUGGAAAGGGUUUUACUGGUUUUGGAUGGGCUCACGGCCUAUCAGCUUGUUGGUGGGGUAAUGGCUCACCAAGGCGACGACGGGUAGCCGGCCUGAGAGGGUGACCGGCCACACUGGGACUGAGACACGGCCCAGACUCCUACGGGAGGCAGCAGUGGGGAAUAUUGCACAAUGGGCGGAAGCCUGAUGCAGCGACGCCGCGUGAGGGAUGACGGCCUUCGGGUUGUAAACCUCUUUCAGUAGGGAAGAAGCGAGAGUGACGGUACCUGCAGAAGAAGCGCCGGCUAACUACGUGCCAGCAGCCGCGGUAAUACGUAGGGCGCAAGCGUUGUCCGGAAUUAUUGGGCGUAAAGAGCUCGUAGGCGGUUUGUCGCGUCUGCUGUGAAAGCCCGGGGCUCAACCCCGGGUCUGCAGUGGGUACGGGCAGACUAGAGUGCAGUAGGGGAGACUGGAAUUCCUGGUGUAGCGGUGAAAUGCGCAGAUAUCAGGAGGAACACCGAUGGCGAAGGCAGGUCUCUGGGCUGUUACUGACGCUGAGGAGCGAAAGCAUGGGGAGCGAACAGGAUUAGAUACCCUGGUAGUCCAUGCCGUAAACGUUGGGCACUAGGUGUGGGGGACAUUCCACGUUUUCCGCGCCGUAGCUAACGCAUUAAGUGCCCCGCCUGGGGAGUACGGCCGCAAGGCUAAAACUCAAAGGAAUUGACGGGGGCCCGCACAAGCGGCGGAGCAUGCGGAUUAAUUCGAUGCAACGCGAAGAACCUUACCAAGGCUUGACAUUCACCGGACCGCCCCAGAGAUGGGGUUUCCCUUCGGGGCUGGUGGACAGGUGGUGCAUGGUUGUCGUCAGCUCGUGUCGUGAGAUGUUGGGUUAAGUCCCGCAACGAGCGCAACCCUCGUUCUAUGUUGCCAGCACGUGAUGGUGGGGACUCAUAGGAGACUGCCGGGGUCAACUCGGAGGAAGGUGGGGAUGACGUCAAAUCAUCAUGCCCCUUAUGUCUUGGGCUUCACGCAUGCUACAAUGGCCGGUACAAAGGGUUGCGAUACUGUGAGGUGGAGCUAAUCCCAAAAAGCCGGUCUCAGUUCGGAUUGAGGUCUGCAACUCGACCUCAUGAAGUCGGAGUCGCUAGUAAUCGCAGAUCAGCAACGCUGCGGUGAAUACGUUCCCGGGCCUUGUACACACCGCCCGUCAAGUCACGAAAGUUGGUAACACCCGAAGCCGGUGGCCUA